UACGUAGGGUGCAGGCGUUAAUCGGAAUUACUGGGCGUAAAGCGUGCGCAGGCGGUUUGUUAAGACAGGUGUGAAAUCCCCGGGCUUAACCUGGGAACUGCGCUUGUUACUGGCAGACUUGAGUGUGGCAGAGGGGGGUGGAAUUCCAGGUGUAGCAGUGAAAUGCGUAGAGAUCUGGAGGAACACCGGUGGCGAAGGCGGCAUCCUGGACCGGCAUUGACGCUGAGGAGCGAAAGCCAGGGGAGCAAACGGG
Molecule: ribosomal RNA, 253 nt
Filed under: uncultured bacterium
Lineage: Bacteria
Description: partial 16S ribosomal RNA
Rfam family: Bacterial small subunit ribosomal RNA
Source: RNAcentral